RNAcentral lists this transfer RNA (89 nucleotides) under Stachybotrys elegans. Its description in RNAcentral is "tRNA-Tyr". The record is from RNAcentral. Lineage: Eukaryota; Fungi; Ascomycota; Sordariomycetes; Hypocreales; Stachybotryaceae.
CUCCUUGUGGUGUAGUUGGCUAUCACGUCGGGCUGUAAUUGAUAAAUCACAUUACCUGAAGGUCACCAGUUCAAUUCUGGUCGGGGAGA